RNAcentral lists this long non-coding RNA (203 nucleotides) under Lathyrus oleraceus (garden pea). RNAcentral's name for it is "Pisum sativum (pea) long non-coding RNA (PSAT_LNC010647)". The record is from RNAcentral. Lineage: Eukaryota; Viridiplantae; Streptophyta; Magnoliopsida; Fabales; Fabaceae.
GAAAAUAAAAUAAAACGCAUCAAAAAUUUAUUUUUUAAAUGAAUUUUAAACGGGAAAUAAGAGAGAAAAUCCAUAAAGCCCUUCAAAACACCAAAUAAAUGGCCAAGAAAAUUAUGGAAGGUUGGAAAUAAAAUAAGAAACAUAAAAUAAAAUUUUUGAAAAUUUUAAAUGUAUCAAAGUAUAUUUAAACUAAUUAAAACAAA